UCCUUAGAUGUUCUGGGCCGCACGCGUGCUACACUGAGUGGAUCAGCGGGUCAGGUUGCGCGAAAGCGUUUCCUAAUCUUUAAAUCCGCUCGUGAUGGGGAUUGACGGUUGCAAUUUUCUGUCAUGAACGAGGAAUACCUUGUAAGCGCGGGUCAUCAUCCCGCGCUGAAUACGUCCCUGCCCUUUGUACACACCGCCCGUCGCUCCUACCGAUUGAGUGGUCCGGUGAGGCUUUGGGAUCUGAGCGGAAAGAGCGUUUCGCCGUUUCUGCUCGGAAAACUCAGUCGAACCUUAUCAUUUAGAGGAAGGAGAAGUCGUAACA
Molecule: ribosomal RNA, 322 nt
Filed under: uncultured eukaryote
Lineage: Eukaryota
Description: partial 18S ribosomal RNA
Rfam family: Eukaryotic small subunit ribosomal RNA
Source: RNAcentral